Molecule: ribosomal RNA, 493 nt
Filed under: Alcyonosyllis phili
Lineage: Eukaryota; Metazoa; Annelida; Polychaeta; Phyllodocida; Syllidae
Description: partial 16S ribosomal RNA
Rfam family: Bacterial large subunit ribosomal RNA
Source: RNAcentral
AUAGCCUUUAGAUUAAUUAUUAAAGGUAGAUCUGCCCAGUGAAUAAGUAAUAACAAAAAUUUUCAACGGCCGCGGUAUCCCUGACCGUGCUAAGGUAGCGCAAUAAUGAGCCUCCUAAUUAGAGGAUAGAAUGAACGAAUUAACAAGAAAAUUACUGUCUCAUAUAAAAAAAUUGAAAUUUAAUUCUAGGUGAAAAUGCCUAAAUUUUUAAUAAAGACAAAAAGACCCUAUAAACUUUUACAAUAAUAUUAUAUAAAUAAAAACGUAUUUAACUGGGGCGGUUCAGAGAAAAUAACACUCUUGAUUAAAAGAGGAAUUCCUCUAAAAAUUUAUCUCCUUAAAACACAAGUAAGCUACUAUAGGGAUAACAGACUAAUACUUCUUAAGAGCACAAAUCAACAGAAGUGCUUAGUACCUCGAUGUUGGCUUAAGGAUCCUAUCUUAUGUAGCAGUAAGACCUGGGGGUUUGUUCAACCUUUAAUACCUUACAUGA